CCUACGGGAGGCAGCAGUGAGGAAUAUUGGUCAAUGGGCGAGAGCCUGAACCAGCCAAGCCGCGUGAGGGAUGACUGCCCUAUGGGUUGUAAACCUCUUUUGUAUGGGGGGAAUACGCUUUACGAGUAGCGUGCUGCGUGUACCCUACGAACAAGCAUCGGCUAACUCCGUGCCAGCAGCCGCGGUAAUACGGAGGAUGCGAGCGUUAUCCGGAUUUAUUGGGUUUAAAGGGUGCGUAGGCGGCAGUAUAAGUCAGUGGUAAAAUAGUGGGGCUUAACCUCGGUACGCCAUUGAUACUGGAAGGCUAGAGAACGGAAGAGGUAGGCGGAAUAAGUGGAGUAGCGGUGAAAUGCAUAGAUAUCACUUAGAACACCGAUAGCGAAGGCAGCUUACCAGACUGAGUCUGACGCUGAGGCACGAAAGCGUGGGUAGCGAACAGGAUUAGAUACCCCUGUAGUC
This 459-nucleotide ribosomal RNA is filed under the name uncultured bacterium. RNAcentral's name for it is "partial 16S ribosomal RNA". It matches the Rfam family "Bacterial small subunit ribosomal RNA", at positions 338 to 795 of the family's 1533-position model. The record is from RNAcentral.